UGUAUGGCGUUUAAAACAUUUAAGUGCUAUUUCAUUCCAAUAUAGAAAAUCAUUCGAAUAUAAUAAAGAAGAAACAAUGAAUGCAAAAUACAUAUUAUCUUUUUUAUAUUUUCUAAUGUUUUACUUAGUAAUUCAAUGUAUUGCGGACGAGACCAUAGCAGAAAUAAAGGAAAGAAUCGCGAACGAAAAUAAAGCUGUACGACAAUUAUACAUGCUAACAUUAGCUCAUUUCCGUGCUGAUAUUGGAAGUAAACUUACUUUGGUUCAUGUGUUGUAUGUUUUGGGAGAGUGUAAUGAAAAAAACAUCAAACAAUACCUCAAAGAGAAUAAUAUUCCUGCCAAUAACCGAAGUAGAAUAAAUCAAGAUCAAUUCGGUGCCAUUGUGAGAAAAAUUUGCGAAAUAAAUGGGACGAAAGUAUUAGACUUUUUGGAAAGAGUUAAUAUUUCAAUGCGUUAUAUAUUGGGCGAUUAUUAGCAUAUUUAACAGAAUAAAAGCUUAUUUAAAUGUA
Adelges cooleyi (spruce gall adelgid) is the source of this 509-nucleotide long non-coding RNA. RefSeq lists it as uncharacterized. The record is from RefSeq and is a predicted model, not a curated record. Lineage: Eukaryota; Metazoa; Arthropoda; Insecta; Hemiptera; Adelgidae. The transcript has 3 exons.